CCAUGCGAAACUAAUAAUUACGAGUGCUGCUCCGGCCGCCAUGGCGGCCGCGGGAAUUCGAUUGGUUACCUUGUUACGACUUGCAUGUGUUAGGCCUGCCGCCAGCGUUCAAUCUGAGCCAGGAUCAAACUCUACGGUUACCUUGUUACGACUUACGGUUACCUUGUUACGACUUGCAUGUGUUAGGCCUGCCGCCAGCGUUCAAUCUGAGCCAGGAUCAAACUCUACGGUUACCUUGUUACGACUUACGGUUACCUUGUUACGACUUGUCUGAGCCAGGAUCAAACUCUACGGUUACCUUGUUACGACUUACGGUUACCUUGUUACGACUUACGGUUACCUUGUUACGACUUGCAUGUGUAAAGCAUGCCGCCAGCGUUCAAUCUGAGCCAGGAUCAAACUCUACGGUUACCUUGUUACGACUUACGGUUACCUUGUUACGACUUACGGUUACCUUGUUACGACUUCUGAGCCAGGAUCAAACUCUACGGUUACCUUGUUACGACUUACGGUUACCUUGUUACGACUUGCAUGUGUAAAGCAUGCCGCCAGCGUUCAAUCUGAGCCAGGAUCAAACUCUAAUCGAAUUCCCGCGGCCGCCAUGGCGGCCGCGAAUUCACUAGUGAUUUACGGUUACCUUGUUACGACUUCUGAGCCAGGAUCAAACUCUACGGUUACCUUGUUACGACUUACGGUUGCCUUGUUACGACUUACGGUUACCUUGUUACGACUUGCAUGUGUUACGCCUACCGCCAGCGUUCAAUCUGAGCCAGGAUCAAACUCUACGGUACCUUGUUACGACUUGUCUGAGCCAGGAUCAAACUCUACGUACCCCGUUACAACAUAACGGUUGCCUUGUGUAUGAACUCUUGAGCCGGGGUGUAAACUCU
RNAcentral lists this ribosomal RNA (890 nucleotides) under uncultured Pseudomonadota bacterium. Its description in RNAcentral is "uncultured proteobacterium partial 16S ribosomal RNA". Lineage: Bacteria; Pseudomonadati; Pseudomonadota. The record is from RNAcentral.